UGUCAGUCUCUGCAGCUGAGCCCCAGUUCCUAACUCUCUCUGCCUUCUGAAAACACACUGGCAGACUGAUCCACAAAGAGGGGAGGACGGGCAAACUUCGAGGGGGAGAACCUGGCAGCUGACACCCCCCGCAGCUCCUGACCAGAGGGCCCCAGGGGGAGAUUUUCACUGGUAUAGAAAGAAGAAGCACGGGACGAGGUUCAGGUAAAAAACAGGGCUCAUGGCAACUCAGGAAGAGGAAGAUGUGAGAUCACUCCUAUUGAUUUGCAGCCUCUGUGUUCCACAUGCAAGCCAAUGUGUAAUAUGGCUUUUUAUUCCUAUGUGAUGAUGAAAAAUAUUCAUGUAGGAAUAGAAGCUAUUUUACAUGUGGUGAGAGAGCAGCACGACACAAGAAAAUAGUUGCUGGCUGCCAAUGGAGACAGAUGCACGACUGGAUAAAUGUAUCAGUCUUCUGUUAAAUGCUUUCCUGUAGUAAGAAGGUACAUUUAUGCUCAUCUUUCAAAUGAUGAGUGAGCUCACUGACAUACAUAUUUGAGAGAGAGAAAAAAAGGAAGGAAGACAGAAAAAAAUGAAGUGAGACUUUGUUGUCUGUGCACCUGUUUCUUUCCUCCAGGCACAAGCAGCUAUCACUGCUUCGGCUGUUUGAUGUAUUUGGUGACAGAUGCCGUCCACGGGGAAGCCAGAAACAUUUGCAAAACAUCCCAAGAACAAAGGAGGAAAAGAGCAAUGAGAGACCAAUACAGAUCUUUAAUAACAAACUGUAAAACAGCCACUUAGUGAACCACAUUACAACCUGCAAGAGGCACGCAGUUUCCCUUUCUUUUCAAUGUCAUUCAUUUUGCACAUUAAUAAAAUAAAACUUUGUCAUGAAGCAUUACAUCAAACAAUAUCCUACCUACAAUACUAUACAAUGAAGGUACAUACAGUAUAAACAAGAUGAAGCACCUUUGUUGUCCUAGUAAAUACUAUUAAUAAUUAAACAUUUGGAGUUACAGACACA
Girardinichthys multiradiatus is the source of this 1000-nucleotide long non-coding RNA. RefSeq lists it as uncharacterized. NCBI's taxonomy places the organism in Eukaryota, Metazoa, Chordata, Actinopteri, Cyprinodontiformes, Goodeidae. The record is from RefSeq and is a predicted model, not a curated record. The transcript is spliced from 3 exons.